RNA transcript from Arachis stenosperma, 3545 nucleotides. It is a transcript of the gene named disease resistance protein RPV1-like, with no coding region annotated. Lineage: Eukaryota; Viridiplantae; Streptophyta; Magnoliopsida; Fabales; Fabaceae. The record is from RefSeq and is a predicted model, not a curated record. The transcript has 6 exons.
ACCAUUAUUAUUCAGUGCACCCUUCACUUGAUAAGUUAACACUAUUAUUAUCAGUUGAAUUGCAGAAGAAACUAAAAUGGCUUCUUCUCCUUCCAUUACUUAUGAUGUGUUCUUGAGUUUCAGAGGCACAGACACUCGGCGCGGUAUUCUUAGCCAUUUGGUUAAGGCUUUCAAUCAAAAGCAAAUUGAAACAUAUGUAGAUUACAUGCUGAGGGAAGGAACUGAAAUAUCACACUCACUCCUUACAGCCAUUGAACAAUCUCAAAUCUCUUUGAUCAUAUUCUCCCAAGACUAUGCUUCUUCCAGAUGGUGCUUGGAUGAACUUGUGACAAUAAUGAAAUGCAGAAAACAAAAUGGUCAAAUCGCAAUACCUGUUUUCUAUGAAGUGGAUCCAUCUUGGGUACGCCAUCAAAAGGGAAGUUAUCAGGAUGCAUUUGCUAAUCACGAGAAAACUUCAUCACAGGACAAGGUUCAAAUCUGGAGACAAGCUCUAAACCAAGCUGCCAAUUUGUCAGGAUUACAUUCAUCAAAUUUUGGGAAUGAUGCUGAAUUCAUUGAAGAAAUUGUGAAACGUGUGUUGCAAAGGUUGAACCAAGCAUACCAAUGUGAUCCAAAAGAAUUUGUUGGAAUUCAUGAACCAAUUGCAGAGCUAGAAUCAGUAUUGUGCAGGGAAUCGAAAGCUGUUCUUGUUGUCGGACUUUGGGGCAUGGGCGGUAUUGGUAAGACAACCCUAGCUAGUAAUAUUUUCAACAGAUUGCAAUAUGAAUUUCAAGGUGUAUGCUUUUUGGAGAAUGUAAGGGAGAGAGUUCAGAGAUAUGGCAUGACUCAUUUGAAGAAAGAGCUUCUUUCUAAACUACUAGAGGAAAAAGAUGUAGUCCCUUUCAUCAUGCCUGAUGGAAUAACCAAUUUUGCCAAAAGAAGACUUAGUCGAAAGGCAAUUCUUCUUGUUCUUGAUGAUGUCAAUGAUCCAGACCAAUUGGAAGAUUUAUGUGGAAGAGGGUUUGAAUGGUUUGGACCAACUACUAGAAUUAUAGUAACAACUAGGGAUAAGCAUGUAUUACUUGUUAAACAAGUUGAUCACAUACAUGAGGUUAAGCCAUUGAAUGACGAUGAAUCUCUCAAGCUUUUUAAUUUGAAUGCCUUCAAACAAAACUAUGACAUUGAAAGAGACCAAGAUCAUGCUGAGCUGGCCAUGAAGCUGGUUACUUAUGCUAAUGGCAUUCCAUUGGCUUUGAAAGUUUUGGGCUCCUCUCUUUAUGGAAGAAGCAAAGAAGAGUGGGAAAGUCAACUGUCUAAACUUGAGAAAAUUCCUCAUGUCAAAAUUCAGAAUAUAUUGAGAGUGAGUUACAAUGACUUGGAUCGUCAUGAUCAAAAUAUUUUUUUAUACAUUGCAUGUUUCUUUGAAACAGAUAAUGCAGAACAGAUAAAAUGUCUACUUGAUUCUUGUGGAUAUUCAACAGCCAUUGGGUUGAGAAAUCUUCAUGAUAAAGCUCUUAUUUCCAUUGCACCAAAAAGUAUGGCAAUGCAUGAUUUGAUUCGUGACAUGGGCCGCGAAGUAGUUCGCGAAGAAUCUCCGAGUAAUCCUGGAAAUCGUAGUAGAUUAUGGGAUCCCGUUGACAUCUAUGAAGUAUUGAAAUAUAACAGGGGAACUGAAACUGUUGAAAGCAUAACAUUCGACAUGAAAAACAUUGACAUGUAUUUGAGUUUGCAUCCCCGGGCAUUUGCAAGAAUGUACAAGUUGAAGUUUUUGAGAAUCAGUUGUUCUUGGACGAGGCAUGGGGAAUGUCUGUUGCGUGUUCCUCAAGGUAUUGAAUCUCUUUCAGACGAGUUGAGACUUUUGGAAUGGAAUGCGUGCCCUUUGAAAUCUUUGCCAUCAUCUUUUUGUGCUGAAAACCUUGUUAAACUUAUGAUGAUGGAUAGCGGGUUAGAAAAGCUUUGAGAUGAUGUCCAGAGAAGAAGAAGCAAGGAAGAGAAUCGAGAGGUCUUCAUCUUCUGCCAAGAUGCCAAGAACCCAAUUACCCAAAAUUGAUGGCCUUAAAGUGGAAGGUUUGGAACGUUUGGGAAGGCCUGUCCUUUUUGAGUUGAUUGUGAAUCCUGGACAGGAUGUGGUUGCGAAGCUACUUGAGGUUUGGGAAGCAAGCGAUCAGUCUAGCUAUAUAAUUUCAGUCUCUGGUCAUAUAUCAAAAGCCGCAAUUGGCAAACCAAGCUCAGAUAUGUUUUAUAUAUAUGAUGUACAAACAAACAAUCACUUAUAUGCACUUGUUCAUGUGUGUCAUUCUUUCAUGUUCUUCUUAUAUUCCAUUUACUUGCAUGCUUUUCUAUCAUCUGCAUGCAGGGACACUUUUAGAUUCUGUCUCUGUCUGGACAUUGGGGGUUUAAAAAGAGGAUGGUUCUGCAGAGUAUUAUCUGUGCAUCACAUUGGCUGAUUCUGAUGGAGAGGUUUUUGAUGGAGAGGCUUUUGGUGGCACUACUGUCAGUAGAUUAAUAGCUUCCGACACUGUAGAAGUAAGAAAAAUUGACUUAUUCCUUAACUUUCUUUCUCUCGAAAGUUUUUAAACUGUUUGUAUAGAACCGUGUUACGCCAAUGAUUUUAUUAUUUCUAGUACUAUUAAAAGUUGUUCAUAUCUAUCAUGAAAUUGAUAAAAUUGUGUUGUGUACCUCCAUAAUUAAUUGGAAUUUCUUGAAUUGUAAUGUGAUCAUACAUUCUACUAACUUUGUAACUUCUCUUCUAACUUCUUAUGAUGAAUUUUGUGAAAGAAGAGGAAAAGAGCACCUAGAAAAACUGCAAUGAAGCUAGAACUUCUGCUAAAGCAUCAUCAUUAGAUAUUGCCCUGCUCGUGCUCCUAUUCUUUGUCCUUGUGAAGAUAAUAGCGUGAUAAGGAAAAACUAAUUUGAGAACAAUGUGAUUAGUUUUAUUUCUGAAAGGGUUACCUUUUUCGUUUGAGGAUAGCAUAUGAUUGUAUGUUUGAGGUUUGGUUAAAUAAAUAAAGUAGACUAUAAAACAUUUCAGUAUGAUACUUGAUCGCCACUCAAGAAUUGCAUUCAUCAUCAGUCAUUCAUUUCACUGCAUUAAGCUAGCAAUUACUAGCUACUUCUCUGAAAUUACGUAUGAUGUUGCUCAGUUUCAGAGGCACACACUCACUUUGGUUGUCCAAAUCAAAGAUAUUGAACUAGACAUCUUACUUUUUAAAGAGUUAGAGAAAAUAAAUACAAAGCAUGUGUAUAUGAAUUCAAUUUGAGAGAUUCUAGAUGGACGUAGUGUUGGAAACUGCCAAGUCCAUAGCAUCCGUUUUCAAAGAGGUCAACCAUAUUGUGUCAUGAUGCAACAGAUGGGGGAACUUGACGCAGACUCACACACUCAGAAAUGUGUAAUACUUGAAGCUUUGAGGCUCUCCACAAAUCUUCUGGCACCUCCAUUAGCUUCCUAGAUCCUUGAAGAUAUACUUCCUUUAUUGUUUUGUGAUUCGUUUUCUGCAACUACUCACAUGAUGAUAUUUGAAUACUAUAGAUAAGAUGUUAGAUGUUGAAUAAUCAAACUUUUCAUG